RNAcentral lists this ribosomal RNA (432 nucleotides) under Triticum aestivum (bread wheat). RNAcentral describes it as "partial small subunit ribosomal RNA". Lineage: Eukaryota; Viridiplantae; Streptophyta; Magnoliopsida; Poales; Poaceae. The record is from RNAcentral.
AUGUUUCGACGUUCCUCCGACGCCAUCACAGGGACUGGACUCUCUGCUAGUGCUCAUGAUCCUACUUUGUUUAUUCACACUUCUCAUGCUCGCACUCUUUUGCUACUUUGUGUUGAUGACAUGAUUAUCACAAGGGAUGACCACCAAUUCAUUGAUUUUGUCAAGAGCCGCCUAAAUGAGCAAUUCAUUGAUUUUGUCAAGAGCCGCCUAAAUGAGCAAUUCUUGAUGCCUGAUUUGGGUUCUCUUCACUACUUUCUAGGACUUGAGAUCAUUUCUUCCCUGAAGGCACUUAUUCCAAGAUCUUCCGCCUCACUGAUCAGUGCACGGUUGACACUCCUAUGGAGUUUGGUCUUCAUCUUCGUCCUAUUGAGGGUGAACCCCUUGCGGAUCCCGCUCACUACCAUCAUCUUGUCGGGAGCCUUGUCUAUCUAG